GGAAGCCUGGUGUGCUGCAGUCCAUGAGGUUGCAAAGAGUUGGACAUGACUGAGCGACUGAAUUGAACUGAACUGAACUGAAUGAUAGCAUCUCCCUCACAGUUUCCUUGUGAGAAUUAAGUGAAUGUAUACAACAUAUUGAAAGCACUUAUAUCAGUGCUUGUCUCAUAAUUCGAUAGUUUGUUUCAGAUGGUGAUUGUCUUCAGAUUGGAUUCCCUGAAAAUACCCUGUGGUGUAGAAUUGUUUGCAGAAUGUAUAUUGAAGAGUGCAUUUGGGAUAUAUUAGCUGUAAAGAAGUGGAGAAGCUGAGCCACAUUGUGGUUACAAUUGAGGUCUUUGCUGAUCCUACAGGGAUCUCUGGAGCUGGGAUGGUCCUUCACAGUUGUCACAAAUUAAGGCAGAGAGCCUGGGCUUUGUAUCCUCAUAUUAGCCAGCACUGAUUGCUGGCUUCAUCAUAGAGAGGAUGUGCGGCCUUCAAUAAGGCAGUUCCUUUUGGACGGUGGUCUCUCUUAGUGAGAAGCAUGGGUACGAGAAGGCAGCAGCCAUGACUGGCCAGCAACUGAGAAAAUAGAUACCUCAGCUCUGAAUAGGUGAUGAGGGUGCAGCCCAAUGUAUCCACUACAGGAUUAAACAGUGAUGCGGAAAUCUAACUUCAAAUAUAGAGAAGAAAUAUCUGACAAAGAAUGAUAAACAAGUAGCUGAAGUAAUUAAUUGCCACUGCUUAAAUCUCAGUUCCUUCUACAUCUGCCAAAAAUUUGUACAUGUCAAUAAGACGCAAAUGAAACUUUAUAUAUCCCUCACCUUCAGCAGAACUAGAAGACAGAGGACAGUAUGAAGUUAUUGUAAGUAGAAAAAUGACAUCAGUUUUUAGUGGCACUGCCUCAUUAUUCCCACUGAGAGCUUAUGUGGAUAUUUAGGGGGUUCUGGAAAAACCGUGUGGAAGAGACUGUGUGAAAAUCAUCCAUAGAAGGAAUUCCCUGGCAGUUCUGGUGGUUACAACUCUACACCUUCCACUGUGGUGGGGAGGGAGGGUGUCGAUCCCUGGUCAGGGAACUAAGAUCCUGAAAGCUGUGCGGUGCGCCACUCCCCCCC
Molecule: long non-coding RNA, 1091 nt
Organism: Cervus elaphus (red deer)
Lineage: Eukaryota; Metazoa; Chordata; Mammalia; Artiodactyla; Cervidae
Exons: 2
Source: RefSeq, a predicted model, not a curated record